RNAcentral lists this small RNA (132 nucleotides) under Phytobacter diazotrophicus. RNAcentral describes it as "RtT sRNA". It matches the Rfam family "RtT RNA". Rfam says of the family: This family represents a bacterial cis-regulatory element known as RtT RNA. The exact function of RtT is unknown although it is thought that it may be involved in changing the cellular response in relation to amino acid starvation. RNAcentral also lists the same sequence under 1 other name. Lineage: Bacteria; Pseudomonadati; Pseudomonadota; Gammaproteobacteria; Enterobacterales; Enterobacteriaceae. The record is from RNAcentral.
AUCCUCCCCAUGCCGGGAAGGGUGAGAAGCUUCGACUAAGGUUCGAGUCGAGCGAAAGCGAGACAACGUUGCCGCAGGCAACGGCCCGAAGGGCGAGGAGCGAAGCGACGAGUAAUCCUUCCCCCACCACCA